GACGAACGCUGGCGGCGUGCUUAACACAUGCAAGUCGAACGGAAAGGCCUCUUUCGGGGGGUACUCGAGUGGCGAACGGGUGAGUAACACGUGAGUAACCUGCCCUUGACUUUGGGAUAACUUCAGGAAACUGGGGCUAAUACCGGAUAGGAGCUCCUGCUGCAUGGUGGGGGUUGGAAAGUUUCGGCGGUUGGGGAUGGACUCGCGGCUUAUCAGCUUGUUGGUGGGGUAGUGGCUUACCAAGGCUUUGACGGGUAGCCGGCCUGAGAGGGUGACCGGCCACAUUGGGACUGAGAGACGGCCCAGACUCCUACGGGAGGAAGCAGUGGGGAAUAUUGCACAAUGGGUGGAAGCCUGAUGCAGCAACGCCGUGUGCGGGAUGACGGCCUUCGGGUUGUAAACCGCUUUCGCUCAUGACGAAGCUUUGUGUGACGGUAGUGGGUAAAGAAGCACCGGCUAACUACGUG
Molecule: ribosomal RNA, 467 nt
Filed under: uncultured bacterium
Lineage: Bacteria
Description: partial 16S ribosomal RNA
Rfam family: Bacterial small subunit ribosomal RNA
Source: RNAcentral